This 1178-nucleotide ribosomal RNA is filed under the name Xylaria termiticola. RNAcentral's name for it is "bacterial SSU rRNA". It matches the Rfam family "Eukaryotic small subunit ribosomal RNA", at positions 18 to 1116 of the family's 1831-position model. The record is from RNAcentral. Lineage: Eukaryota; Fungi; Ascomycota; Sordariomycetes; Xylariales; Xylariaceae.
GGGAGGUCAAAAAGGUGUCUCAAAGAUUAAGCCAUGCAUGUCUAAGUAUAAGCAAUUAUACCGCGAAACUGCGAAUGGCUCAUUAAAUCAGUUAUCGUUUAUUUGAUAGUACCUUACUACUUGGAUAACCGUGGUAAUUCUAGAGCUAAUACAUGCUAAAAAUCCCGACUCACGAAGGGAUGUAUUUAUUAGAUUAAAAACCAAUGCCCCUCGGGGCUUUCUGGUGAUUCAUAAUAACUUCGCGAAUCGCAUGGCCUUGCGCCGGCGAUGGUUCAUUCAAAUUUCUGCCCUAUCAACUUUCGAUGGCAGGGUAUUGGCCUGCCAUGGUUACAACGGGUAACGGAGGGUUAGGGCUCGACCCCGGAGAAGGAGCCUGAGAAACGGCUACUACAUCCAAGGAAGGCAGCAGGCGCGCAAAUUACCCAAUCCCGACACGGGGAGGUAGUGACAAUAAAUACUGAUACAGGGCUCUUUUGGGUCUUGUAAUUGGAAUGAGUACAAUUUAAAUCCCUUAACGAGGAACAAUUGGAGGGCAAGUCUGGUGCCAGCAGCCGCGGUAAUUCCAGCUCCAAUAGCGUAUAUUAAAGUUGUUGCAGUUAAAAAGCUCGUAGUUGAACCUUGGGCCUGGCUGGCCGGUCCGCCUCACCGCGUGCACUGGUUCGGCCGGGCCUUUCCCUCUGGGGAGCCCCAUGCCCUUCACUGGGUGUGGCGGGGAACCAGGACUUUUACUGUGAAAAAAUUAGAGUGUUCAAAGCAGGCCUAUGCUCGAAUACAUCAGCAUGGAAUAAUAGAAUAGGACGUGUGGUUCUAUUUUGUUGGUUUCUAGGACCGCCGUAAUGAUUAAUAGGGACAGUCGGGGGCAUCAGUAUUCAAUUGUCAGAGGUGAAAUUCUUGGAUUUAUUGAAGACUAACUACUGCGAAAGCAUUUGCCAAGGAUGUUUUCAUUAAUCAGGAACGAAAGUUAGGGGAUCGAAGACGAUCAGAUACCGUCGUAGUCUUAACCAUAAACUAUGCCGACUAGGGAUCGGACGAUGUUAUUUUUUGACUCGUUCGGCACCUUACGAGAAAUCAAAGUCUUUGGGUCUGGGGGGGAGUAUGUCGCAAGCUGACUAGGAGUCCCCCCUCCCCCGACGCCAAGAAUCUCGCCUCUUACUACUUGUGGGGCUUGUGCAUGCUAG